AAAACGGUUCUUCUCAGAACCAUCAAUGUAACCAUCAUUAUACUA
Acyrthosiphon pisum (pea aphid) is the source of this 45-nucleotide non-coding RNA. The record is from Rfam. Lineage: Eukaryota; Metazoa; Arthropoda; Insecta; Hemiptera; Aphididae.